This 565-nucleotide long non-coding RNA is filed under the name Olea europaea (common olive). Its description in RNAcentral is "long non-coding RNA (OEUR_LNC007710)". Lineage: Eukaryota; Viridiplantae; Streptophyta; Magnoliopsida; Lamiales; Oleaceae. The record is from RNAcentral.
CUUUAUCCAACAACUACAAAACUUUCAAUGCACAAAUUGCUGAACAGGGAAAAAAAAUAUUCUGCAAAACGUCUAUCAAUCAACUUUUUCAUUCAAAUCACAUUAUGGAGUCAUUCAGAUUAAUACAGAGAUAGAAAAUAAAAUCGCAAAUCGCAUACAGACAUCUCUAUGAUGCUUUUAUUUUUGACAUUCCAUAAUAAAAACUGUAGAUUAAUUUUAAACUAUAACAGAAAUCUCCAUUGCAGAAAAUUUAAAAAUAAAGGGAGAAAGGAAGCUUAACUAAUUUAAGCUUGAACUGCAUUGCCAAAGGAUCUAUAGUUGCCCAACGGUUCGGGGGAGUAGAGUUGUCAAAAUAACCAGUCCAGCCUAUUUGACAAUUCUACUGAGGAUUGAAUUAUCCUUCUUUCUCUUCAUAUUUACCACUGCUAUUAUCGUGGAAACUUGCCCACAGAAGCCUGAUGGAGAAAGCGGAGGUCCUCAAGAAAAAGACAUAAAAUUGAAGAAUAAUUAAUGAUUUUAAAGGGUUUGUGAAAUGGUAUAGAAUUAAUGGAGAAGGAUCUUCCAA